GACGAACGCUGGCGGCGUGCUUAACACAUGCAAGUCGAACGGAAAGGCCCUGCUUUUGUGGGGUGCUCGAGUGGCGAACGGGUGAGUAACACGUGAGUAACCUGCCCUUGACUUUGGGAUAACUUCAGGAAACUGGGGCUAAUACCGGAUAGGAGCUCCUGCUGCAUGGUGGGGGUUGGAAAGCUUCGGCGGUUGGGGAUGGACUCGCGGCUUAUCAGCUUGUUGGUGGGGGAGUGGCUUACCAAGGCAUUGACGGGUAGCCGGCCUGAGAGGGUGACCGGCCACAUGGGGACUGAGAGACGGCCCAGACUCCUACGGGAGGCAGCAGUGGGGAAUAUUGCACAAUGGGCGGAAGCCUGAUGCAGCAACGCCGCGUGCGGGAUGACGGCCUUCGGGUUGUAAACCGCUUUCGCCUGUGACGAAGCGUGAGUGACGGUAAUGGGUAAAGAAGCACCGGCUAACUACGUG
This 468-nucleotide ribosomal RNA is filed under the name uncultured bacterium. RNAcentral's name for it is "partial 16S ribosomal RNA". It matches the Rfam family "Bacterial small subunit ribosomal RNA", at positions 28 to 507 of the family's 1533-position model. The record is from RNAcentral.